ACGUCAGAACUGUUUCGGUCUUCCAUCAGGGUUUCCCCUGACUUCAACCUGAUCAAGUAUAGUUCACCAUCUUUCGGGUCACAGCAUAUAUGCUCAGGGUACGUUCCAGUUCCAGUUAGAGAUAUAAAUAAUAUAAAUAUCAUUAUACAUAACUAUAUAGAACGCCCCGGGAUUGUGUUAAUAAACUAUAAAAUGUAUAAAAGCUAAUCCCAAAGUCAAGUUAAUUUCGCCAUUAGGUUU
This 240-nucleotide ribosomal RNA is filed under the name Chymomyza amoena. RNAcentral describes it as "partial 28S ribosomal RNA". The record is from RNAcentral. Lineage: Eukaryota; Metazoa; Arthropoda; Insecta; Diptera; Drosophilidae.